RNAcentral lists this ribosomal RNA (492 nucleotides) under uncultured bacterium. Its description in RNAcentral is "partial 16S ribosomal RNA". It matches the Rfam family "Bacterial small subunit ribosomal RNA", at positions 29 to 507 of the family's 1533-position model. The record is from RNAcentral.
AGUGAACGCUGGCGGUAGGCCUAACACAUGCAAGUCGAACGGCAGCACAGUAAGAUCUUGCCCUUACGGGUGGCGAGUGGCGGACGGGUGAGGAAUACAUCGGCAUCUACUUUUUCGUGGGGGAUAACGUAGGGAAACUUACGCUAAUACCGCAUACGACCUACGGGUGAAAGCAGGGGUUCUUCGGACCUUGCGCGAUUGAAUGAGCCGAUGUCGGAUUAGCUAGUUGGCGGGGUAAAGGCCCACCAAGGCGACGAUCCGUAGCUGGUCUGAGAGGAUGAUCAGCCACACUGGAACUGAGACACGGUCCAGACUCCUACGGGAGGCAGCAGUGGGGAAUAUUGGGCAAUGGGCGCAAGCCUGAUCCAGCCAUACCGCGUGGGUGAAGAAGGCCUUCGGGUUGUAAAGCCCUUUUGUUGGGAAAGAAAAGCAGCAGGUUAAUACCCCGCUGUUCUGACGGUACCCAAAGAAUAAGCACCGGCUAACUUCGUG